This 900-nucleotide long non-coding RNA is filed under the name Phasianus colchicus (ring-necked pheasant). RNAcentral describes it as "lncRNA (ENSPCLG00000017939.1)". Lineage: Eukaryota; Metazoa; Chordata; Aves; Galliformes; Phasianidae. The record is from RNAcentral.
GUUUGAUUGGAAAUUAGUGCAAGCUGUGUGCUAGCCUUCCUUUCAAUCCCCCAGCUUAAACCUCUUGCUGCUCACACCAGGCUGUAAUGCUACCUGUUGUCUGUGUUCUGAUAUGUGCUCCAACCAGAUGGUGAUAACUCUGGUUUUGGAAUGAAAGUUUCUUCAUUUCAUUUAGCUUGAAUUCACACAAUCUUCAUUGUGUGAAGAUGGAAUGGCUCCUGGAAAUGUGGAUGCAGCAGCCAGACAUGUGGUGCAGCAGGUUGGCAAACAGGGCCAUUGCUGCAUUGUGUACAUGUACUAUUCCAAGCAAAACAGUGCCAAGGCCCUGUGUGCUGCCAUUUCUUAAAAGCAAAUGUACUGCAUGAAGGAGAAGACACCUGGAGACCACAGAAAGUUUUGGGAGGCCCAGGACAAAUACUGGACAGACGUCAGCAAAUCUACAGCUGGAUCAGGCAGCAAGCCAAAACAGGUAAACACUAAUCAAAUUGGGCAGAUGGCAUGGAGAGAACAGGAACAGCAUGUCCCAAAAGGAGCAGUUGUCAGCGAUCAAACGGGAUCUUAGAAGAAGGACUUGAAUAAUCACAGAUUUAUUUCUUUAUGGUACAAACAGCUGCUGAGGUCUAUGAGCACCAAUGCCUCUUCAUGCACUGAUGGGAGCUAGGUGCAAUGGUAGUGGAAAGUUGUUUUUUCAAGUAAAAGAACUGUAAUUUUCAUCUAGGUUUGGCUUUCCUUGCCAAAAGACAGAGAAGACUAUCCUGAAUGAGGGAAACAAAUGAAAAGAAAUGCCAAAAAUAAGAUUAAAUAGCAGAACCUUCCAAUUCACAUCUUACAUACUCAGUAGCUUUCGUUAGUGUUUUCCAUCCUUUCAUACUUCCUUGAUAGAUAGUGCUGCUGUAUCUC